GUGAGCUUAGCUCAGUUGGUAAGGACAUUGCAUAAUAUAUGCAGGGGUCGGGGUUCGAACCCCGAACACCCCACU
RNAcentral lists this transfer RNA (75 nucleotides) under Medicago truncatula (barrel medic). RNAcentral describes it as "tRNA-OTHER". Lineage: Eukaryota; Viridiplantae; Streptophyta; Magnoliopsida; Fabales; Fabaceae. The record is from RNAcentral.